CGCCGCGUGGGGGAGUGAAGGCCUUCGGUUGUAACCCUUUCAGCAGGGACGAAGCGAAAGUGACGGUACCUGCAGAAGAAGCGCCGGCUAACUACGUGC
This 99-nucleotide ribosomal RNA is filed under the name uncultured bacterium. Its description in RNAcentral is "partial 16S ribosomal RNA". The record is from RNAcentral.